CAAACGACUCUCGGCAACGGAUAUCUCGGCUCACGCAUCGAUGAAGAACGUAGCAAAAUGCGAUACUUGGUGUGAAUUGCAGAAUCCCGUGAACCAUCGAGUUUUUGAACGCAAGUUGCGCCCGAAGCCUUUUGGUCGAGGGCACGUCUGCCUGGGCGUCACGC
RNAcentral lists this ribosomal RNA (164 nucleotides) under Bothriocline laxa. RNAcentral describes it as "5.8S ribosomal RNA". It matches the Rfam family "5.8S ribosomal RNA". Rfam says of the family: 5.8S ribosomal RNA (5.8S rRNA) is a component of the large subunit of the eukaryotic ribosome. It is transcribed by RNA polymerase I as part of the 45S precursor that also contains 18S and 28S rRNA. Lineage: Eukaryota; Viridiplantae; Streptophyta; Magnoliopsida; Asterales; Asteraceae. The record is from RNAcentral.